GGAACUAGAUCAUCAUCACCAUCGAGCUGGGUGGGUUGCAGACAUGUGCAGUCAUAGUCAUGGUCCAUAUUGACCGAAGAAGGAUGGAAAGAAGUCUUGGACGUAGCAUUAGCGGAGGAACUCCGAGCCUUGUUCACGUCAAGGGGCACGCCAAAAAUCAUUCCUUCUUGGAACCCUGUAUUGUCCAUAUGAUGACACCAAUUACAAAUGGUAAAUGUACUGGACACGUUUUCUGGGAUAUUUCACUGCAAGAUUCAAUGACUGUCAGAGGAUCAAAGAUGUCUCCAGGACACCAUCACCUUGACUCCCAUUGGGGAGCUCUUUGGCACAGCACAGUGAGCAGUGACACUGCAGAGGAAGAGUAAAGGGGCAGGCUAAAAUAAAAUGCAAUGCCUGGGAGAUCCAUGAGGGAACACCAAGACCCCAUCACCUUCAUUGACACCGGGAGUGCUCUGCUGCAUUACUGAGAACCACAAGAAAGCGCCAGGGCACGAUCACCUUGACUACCACUGGGGAGGUCUUUGGCGCAGCACCUUGAGCUGUGGCACGGCAGUAGAAGAGUAAAAUGCUGGGAGCUAAGUGAGAAGCCACUUUGAAGGAAAAGUUGAAUGAAGCGCAUGUCCACACUUGUAUUACUGUUAUUUGCUUUGUUUGAACUACCUUUAUAUUUUUUGGUCUACUGAUUUGUCAGUACUACAACCAUUCCAAGUGCCAAACAGACUGGACAGAUGGUCAAAUUUUGUUAGCACAUUAUCUUUUAUGUAUUGUUUUUGAAGCGGUUUCUCUCUAGUAUCAAAUUAUUUUUCUUUUCGGGUAGUUGUGGUCAAAGAAUCUAUUCUCUGCAGAGAGUACAACAGGCUGGCCUGUGGCUGAAAUGUACACUGACGUUAUGAGGACCACUUCUGUUAACAACAGGACAGCCUUCUUUGCACCCUCCUGUUUCAUAGCCUUGACAGAAACUAAUUACCUGCAUAUAUUUUGUCAAUGUAGGUCAGUGGUGUAAAACAUUUAUUUUUUUGGGUCACAGGCCACAUUUGGUUAAUGCUUGUAAUAGUGCAACGUUAUGAUUAAUGAUAAUUGAAAAUUACGGGACAGAUUUUUAACAAAAAUCGUGGAGGUUAAUACACAUUUUCCCCGCAUCCUCAUAAAAGCAGGCUGCAUCCUGAUCUGGCCCUGGGCCUUGAGUUAUGACACCAGUGCUUUGGGUGGUGUAAUUUCAACAGUUAAUGUCUAUCCACAAGGACCAUUAACUGUUUGUUGAGGGAACUCAGCUGUUGCUGUUGUUGCCACUGGUGUUGUUGAUGGUCAUCUGGACUGGUCAUCUUGGUCUCGUGGCAAGAUAACAGCUACAUAACAGGCAUCAUCUUGGUUGAGUCUCAAGAUGACGUCUCUUGCAUGGGCGUCGUCUUGGUCAUUGCCGUGGCUGUUUGGGUUGACCGCUGGCUUUCUGCGAUCUGCAUGUGAGGGUUGCGCCACACGCUGAGAGCCAACGUAUUACUGCACUUUCGGUUGAUGGGGCCGUUUUUUUCUUAGGCAUGCAUUGGUUUAUCUUUAGGUCAAUAAUCUGAACAUGCUGUCUUGGAUUGGUUCUUUUCCUCUAUUACACACCACGAAGACUAAUUGUACUAAAACUUUGGCAGAGUAUUACUAUGAGGCUUCCAGAGGUGGUGUCUUCUCCCCCCCCCCCCCCCCUUGCAUCUGGCUCAGCCUAUUAUGCCUUGUUUGUAGAUUUUCCUUCACAGUGUCAGGUUGACGCUGUCGCGAAGACUAAUAUAAGUGUUUGGCAAAGUGUUACUGUCAGGCUUCCAGGUUUGCUAUCCCCUACCCUUGUGCAUCCGGCUCUGGCGCUUAUACCCUGGCUGUUAGGUUUCAUUGAUGAUGGCAGGAUGAGUCUGUCACGAAGACUUCUUCCUCUUUUUUUUCUCUCAGUAUGCCAAUUGUACUAAAUGUUUGGCAGAGUGUUACUGGCAGGCUUCCAGGUUUGCUGUCCCCUGCCCUUGUGAAUCCGGCUCAGGCGAUUAUGCCUUGGCUGUCAGGAUGUGUUUGUCAUGAAGACUAAUCAUACUAAAUGUAGGUUAGCAUCAUUGAGGAUCAAUGCUUUGGGAUACUUUACAUUUAUGAUUUUAGACACACAGCAGAACCUCCAUCUCCACAAAGGCUGUCCGUUCUUGUAGAAAACUUCAUUACUAGUCAUAUUUUUCUCUUUGAGCGACCUCUGUCUAAAGCAUUUCCAAUAUACUUGUUCCAAUACAAUUGGGUUUUGACCAUGCGCCUGUGGACAUCAACAAGCACACUGAACUACGGCAACCCAAACUAAGACAAACUUUCUCUCCGUCAUUAGCAUAGCCCGCACGGCAGAAAUCAGAUGUACAGUAUGUUAUGAGGGCUCCACGAGACAUAUGCAAGCACCAAAAGAGGCACAUAGGUGGGCGAGUCAUAGGGUUCGUGACUGCUGCUGUAAACCUUUCAGUAAGCAGUCGUUAAUGUCCCUGCCAGCAUUUUUUGGCGAGUUGGAUGUCUUUGCCUAAUGUUUUGGGUUGUGGAAGACUGUCCUUUGUUGUAAAAUCUGAGCAGAGGGUCUCAAAUGUCGUGACUCUGCUAAGGCGUCCAGGCAGUG
Long non-coding RNA from Syngnathoides biaculeatus (alligator pipefish), 2617 nucleotides. RefSeq lists it as uncharacterized. The record is from RefSeq and is a predicted model, not a curated record. The transcript is spliced from 4 exons. NCBI's taxonomy places the organism in Eukaryota, Metazoa, Chordata, Actinopteri, Syngnathiformes, Syngnathidae.